This 22-nucleotide microRNA is filed under the name Equus caballus (horse). RNAcentral describes it as "Eca-Mir-187_5p* (star (passenger))". The record is from RNAcentral. Lineage: Eukaryota; Metazoa; Chordata; Mammalia; Perissodactyla; Equidae.
GCUACAACACGGGACCCGGGCG